GACGAACGCUGGCGGCGUGCUUAACACAUGCAAGUCGAACGGUAAGGCCCUUCGGGGUACACGAGUGGCGAACGGGUGAGUAACACGUGGGUGAUCUGCCCUGCACUUCGGGAUAAGCCUGGGAAACUGGGUCUAAUACCGGAUAGGACCACUGCCUGCAUGGGUGGUGGUGGAAAGCUUUUGCGGUGUGGGAUGGCCCGCGGCCUAUCAGCUUGUUGGUGGGGUGAUGGCCUACCAAGGCGACGACGGGUAGCCGGCCUGAGAGGGUGACCGGCCACACUGGGACUGAGACACGGCCCAGACUCCUACGGGAGGCAGCAGUGGGGAAUAUUGCACAAUGGGCGCAAGCCUGAUGCAGCGACGCCGCGUGAGGGAUGACGGCCUUCGGGUUGUAAACCUCUUUCAGCACCGACGAAGCGCAAGUGACGGUAGGUGCAGAAGAAGGACCGGCCAACUACGUGCCAGCAGCCGCAGUAA
Molecule: ribosomal RNA, 477 nt
Filed under: uncultured bacterium
Lineage: Bacteria
Description: partial 16S ribosomal RNA
Rfam family: Bacterial small subunit ribosomal RNA
Source: RNAcentral